Molecule: long non-coding RNA, 741 nt
Filed under: Homo sapiens (human)
Lineage: Eukaryota; Metazoa; Chordata; Mammalia; Primates; Hominidae
Description: non-protein coding lnc-CERK-17:1
Source: RNAcentral
UGUUUCUACAGCACAGCCAGGCUCAGCCUGACUGAUCCAGGCUCCAAAGGAAAGUACCGUACAGGAAGCCUGGGUGGUUCCCAGAGGCCUCCCUUGGAAGCUGAGAGGCAGCCGGAGAAGCUGUAAAGUGUGCUUGCGGAGAGGAAGAGAGGAGAGGGAUGUUACGGGCCUGGGGACACCUAGGAGGGGUGCGGAGAGGAAGAGAGGAGAGGAGGAGAGUGAUGUUACGGGCCUGGAGACGUCUAGGAGGGGUGCGGAGAGGAAGAGAGGAGAGGAGGAGAGUGAUGUUAUGGGCCUGGGGAUACCUAGGAGGGGUGCGGAGAGGAAGAGAGGAGAGGAGGAAAGUGAUGUUACAGGCCUGGGGAUGCAUUGAGAAGAUCGAGUUGAGAAGAACUGAUGUCUUGAUAAUAUCAAGUCUUCCUAAUAAUAAACAUUGAAUAGUUCCCCAUGUAGUUAUUUCUUUAUUUUAUCACAGUUUUAUUUUAAAAAAUAUCUUUGUCUGGUUUGGGUAUUAAGGUAAGACUGACCUAAUAGAAUGAGAGGAAGAAUUCCCUCUGCUUCUAUUCUCUGUAAGGAAUUGUAGAUAUUUGGUGUAAUGUUUUCCUUAAAUAUUUGGUAGAUUUCACCAAUAAACCCAUCUGGGCCUAGUGCUUUCUCUUUUUGAAGGUUAUUAAUUAUUGAUUCAAUUUUGUUGAUAGAUAGAUGGCUUUCAGAUUGUCUAUUUCUUCUUGCGUGAAUUUU